GGGACGAACGCUGGCGGCGUGCUUAACACAUGCAAGUCGAGCGGUAAGGCCUUUCGGGGUACACGAGCGGCGAACGGGUGAGUAACACGUGGGUGAUCUGCCCUGCACUCUGGGAUAAGCCUGGGAAACUGGGUCUAAUACCGGAUAUGACCUGCUCUCGCAGUGGGGGUGGUAGGAAAGUAUUUAUCGGUGCAGGAGUGGGCCCGCGGCCUAUCGAGUCUUGGUUGGGUGGGUAAUGGCCUACCGAGGGCGACGACGGUAGCCGACCUGAGAGGGUGACCGGCAACGACGUAGGGACUGAGACCACGGCCCAGACCUCCGACGGGAGCGAGCAGGU
Molecule: ribosomal RNA, 337 nt
Filed under: uncultured soil bacterium
Lineage: Bacteria
Description: bacterial SSU rRNA
Rfam family: Bacterial small subunit ribosomal RNA
Source: RNAcentral